Molecule: small RNA, 28 nt
Filed under: Bombyx mori (domestic silkworm)
Lineage: Eukaryota; Metazoa; Arthropoda; Insecta; Lepidoptera; Bombycidae
Description: ovarian small RNA-31811
Source: RNAcentral
UGACGUCACGGGACGUCUGCGCGUUCGG